UAAAACCCUAAACCUAUAAAAAGGAGCUAGACUCCUAGACCUAAUGGGGACCGAUCAGCGAAAAUACAACAAAAAAAAGACUAGACCUAGGACCUAAAAAGCUGAAAGCGCAACAGACAUAGGACCCCACCCCCGCCGGUCGUCUUCUUCACAGAACCUCCAGCGGAAAGCUUCAGCCAUUGUCAACGACCUUCCUCUCCAUCGCCUUCUUCUUUUUCUUCAACUCGUCGGUGACGACCUCCUCCGUUUCCAGCCAGCGCCAGCUGCUGUCGAACACUAUAAAUGACGGCGCAACUCCUGAACACCAAAAUCGUCCACCACAGCCCUUUCUCGAAUCCUAGACCCUAGGAAACAAAACCAGCGACAGACUUGAGCAACGAAGCCACCCCUAUUUUCCAACGUCUUCAACAGUCCCACUCCCAAGAGUCAUACACAGACAAACCAGCCGAGAAGCCAACUCCAUCGAAGAUCGGGCAAAGCUUUUAGGUCGAAGUUCAGUGUUCCAGCGGAAGUUCCGGUUACUCGAAAGAUCCUGUUUUUUCUUGAACUUCGUCAAUUGAGGUUCUUUUCUUUGUUUUCACUUUCUUCCAUGCCAAUAUUAUGCUCUUGUCAAUAUUUAAAUGAAUGGUUUUGGUUUUCUUACUUAUUGAUUUAUUUUAACAUGAUGAUGUUUUAAUUUGCUCAAAUGGUAAUUAACUUGUCAUAUUAUGUUUUGUUGGGGGUUGUGCCUUUAAGAUGCUACUGCUGCCUUGUUUAUGUUUUGUAUAUAUAAAAGCCUCAAUUUAAGCUUGCAUGUGAUGUAUCUUGAGAUUUCAGUUCAUCAAACGAGGUGAGGCUCAUGAAGCUUGUUAGUGUUGCCCAUUUAUGUUUUUUUGGCUGUAUGCUUCCAAACGUAAAUAGCAUUUUGGUAUCUCGUUUAUGGUCUAGUCGAUUUUUAUCAAGUAUUUUUGGAAUGUGUAAAUAAUACUUGUUAUCUUUCGAAAAUGGUGGCAACUAACAAUGUUGGUUUUCAAAUGAUGAAAAGUCAUAUAUCUUGUAGAGCCCAUUCUUAGACUUUCUGAGGUUUGAAACCCGUUUUCAGUUAUAAAUCAUUGUUAAGCGGGGUAAGCCUAUCAACUACCUCUAAAUUUAGCCAUAAUCUCUAGCAUAUAAUCAAAUUUAGACUUAAUCUAUCAUCGUGAUUGCGUACACGUUCGCGUGACAUAAUUACGAUUCUUUUAAAGAACAAAAUCAGAGUAUGCAUUCGCGCAACUUUAACUAAACUUUCUUAAUAAUAACAAAGCGUUAUUAAUUGUGGAUACGUUCUCAUGACAUGAUUUUUUACGCCCCAAACAAACGGGUACACGUACACGUGACUUGUUUAAAGAUAAUUCCUUAAUUAAAAAGGCAAAUGCACAUAGGUUCAAACUCAGUAAUUAAAUAAUUUUAAUAGUCCAAGUAUGAUCAAAGCGACCGUGCUAGAAUCACAGAACUCGGGAAUACCUAACACCUUCUCCCGGGUUAGCAGAAUUCCUUACUCGAAUUUCUGUGUUCGCAGACCGUAAAUAGAGUCAAACUUCCUCGAAUCGGGAUAUUAAACCGGUGACUUGGGACACCAUAAAUUAUCCCAAGUGGCGACUCUGAAUUUUAAAUAAAUAAUCUUGUUUCGAUUGUCACUUAAAUUGGAAAAAAAACUCUCUUAUACCUUUCCCAGGGGUAGAAAAAGGAGGUGUGACAGCUCCGGCGACUCUGCUGGGGACAAGAACCCAGAAUCUCUGGUUCAGGAUUCAAGAAUUUGAGCUUGUUAAAACAAUUUUUACUUGGCUUCAUUUAUUGUUAAUAUUACUGUAUUCUGUGAACCUUUUGUGCUAAAGGCUAUCUCUUUACCGCUUUAGUAUUGUUUGAAUUGUAUAUAACUAUCUUCUUAUGCCAACCCUCUGAGUCUUCUGAAAAUGGUUCACACGUUCGCGUGGCCUGCUUUUUCUGUAGAAGUUAUACCAAAUAAGAACGGGGCUGGGCCAGCAACAAGGCCAGGUAGACUUUAGUGCUCCCGGUAUGUUGCCCCCUCUUAGGCUCGAGUUGUCCGCUCGGGUAAGCCAGGUCAAGAACACAACCCUAGGUUUAAACUUAGAAUAACAUAACCUCAUACCGGAUCCCUAGUAGGAACGUAUGUUUGCAUCAUGUGCAUUUGACUUUGGGGACUCAAUAUAGGAGUUGGGUCCGUCUAGGACAGGUGUACCCAAAAUAACAAACCAUCUUGAUGCAUCAUAUGUGCUACAUGUUGCAUUUCUUCCAGCGUAAAAGGGUAAUUUGGCGGACCAAUGAUAGUUGAGGGCAAAUAAAAAAAGAAAAAAGAGAGUGAAGUGUGAAAAUAAAGCAAGUAGGACCCAGUUAUGUUUUUUUCACAUUUUUUAAGAAAAGAAAAAAAACUAAAUAUAUAUAUAUAUAUAUAUAUAUAUAUAUAUNNNNNNNNNNNNNNNNNNNNNNNNNUAGCCAUCUUUUGGCCGCAUAAGCCAUUUUGCAAAAAUAGCCUCAAUCAUGUCUUGCAUGUUGUCCAAUAGGAAGUGUUAUAGUCUCACAUAGUGUUCUAGGUCUUUAACUUUAUUUGGUCUUAAUUUUCUCAUACAGGUGUGAGUUUACUUACUGGAGUUUGAGCAUGACAGACGCUCUAGGACCAUCCAGUCCGGAUCACUCAUUCAGGAGUUUGCUUGAGGAGAUUUUUUUUAUGUUUUUAGUCUGUUGUUCUUUUUUAUGUCAUCUUUUAUCUUCUAGUUUUGUACAGUAAUGUCGAGUCUUUUAGGUGAUGUUAGAGUUUGUCAUAGUCUAGUUAAGUUUGCCGAGUCUUUUCUUAUUGUAUUUCUUGAUUUGUAUUUGGAAAUGUGUUACAAAUGAGAAAUACAAAAAACAUUUAGA
RNAcentral lists this long non-coding RNA (2892 nucleotides) under Nicotiana tabacum (common tobacco). RNAcentral's name for it is "long non-coding RNA (NTAB_LNC011890)". Lineage: Eukaryota; Viridiplantae; Streptophyta; Magnoliopsida; Solanales; Solanaceae. The record is from RNAcentral.